UGUGGAUAGGGGAGAAAUUCCAAUCGAACCCGGAGAUAGCUGGUUCUCCUCGAAAUAGCUUUAGGGCUAGCCUCGAUUUAGUCUUAUGGAGGUAGAGCACUGAAUUUCCGCGGGGGCGUCAAAGCUUACCAAAGAAUAUCAAACUCCGAAUGCCAUGUAGAUGAUGAACGGGAGUCAGACUGCACGAGAUAAGUUGGGCAGUCAAAAGGGAAAGAGCCCAGACCGCCAGCUAAGGUCCCAAAGUGUGUGUUAAGUGGAAAAGGAUGUGGGAUCUCCAAGACAACUAGGAUGUUGGCUCAGAAGCAGCCACACAUUCAAAGAGUGCGUAACAGCUCACUAGUCGAGAGGUCCUGCGCCGAAAAUGUCCGGGGCUGAAACACAACACCGAAGCUGCGGAAUUGCGAAUGCAAUUGGUAGAGGAGCAUUCUUAAUACCGACGAAGCUGUACCGGAAGGAGCAGUGGAGGGAUAAGAAGAGAGAAUGCCGGAAUGAGUAGCGAGAGAGAGGUGGGAAUCCUCUCGGCCGAAUAUCCAAGGUUUCCAGAGUAAAGCUGAUCUGCUCUGGGUAAGUCGGGGCCUAAGGCGAGGUCAAAAGACGUAGCCGAUGGACAACAGGUUUAGAUUCCUGUACCGCAUAUAAACAGAACUGUGGGGACGCAUGGGGAGAGCAUGGGCCGGGAAUGGAAAUACCGGUGCAAGCGAAGGAGGUGUGCAGCCGGCAAAUCCGCUGCAUGAGCCGAAAGCGUGACGCGGAGCGAAAUGAAAGUAGCGAAGCAUGUGAGCCCUGUGCCGAGAAAAGCCGCUAUAGCUUUAUAUGUGCCCGUACCGUAAACCGACACAGGUGGAUGAGGAGAGAAUCCUAAGGCCGGCGGAAGAAGUAUUGUUAAGGAACUCGGCAAAAUGACCCCGUAACUUCGGGAGAAGGGGUGCCCACGGGAGUGGGCCGCAGAGAAUAGGCUCAAGCAACUGUUUAGCAAAAACACAGGUCUAUGCGAAACCGAAAGGUGAAGUAUAUGGGCUGACGCCUGCCCGGUGCUGGAAGGUUAAGAGGAGAGGUUAGCUUCGGCGAAGCUUUGAAUUUAAGCCCCAGUAAACGGCGGCCGUAACUAUAACGGUCCUAAGGUAGCGAAAUUCCUUGUCGGGUAAGUUCCGACCC
RNAcentral lists this ribosomal RNA (1155 nucleotides) under human gut metagenome. Its description in RNAcentral is "bacterial LSU rRNA". It matches the Rfam family "Bacterial large subunit ribosomal RNA", at positions 810 to 1989 of the family's 2925-position model. The record is from RNAcentral.